Long non-coding RNA from Solanum dulcamara, 1253 nucleotides. RefSeq lists it as uncharacterized. The record is from RefSeq and is a predicted model, not a curated record. The transcript is spliced from 6 exons. NCBI's taxonomy places the organism in Eukaryota, Viridiplantae, Streptophyta, Magnoliopsida, Solanales, Solanaceae.
UUUAGUUGGUAGUCUCCAUUAGGAUAGGUAUAAAACUACCUAUCACCCUUUCUUUUUUGUCGCAAAGUUCAUUUUUUUUGUCACCAAAUCACCCUUUUGGUGAAACUAGACAACCUUCUACUUUUAUUGUUCUUAUUACUCUCUCCAGUUUAACUCAAAAAAGCAAUUUAACAUGUUUUCUCUUGAGCUGAAAAACUGUUGCUUGGCAUGACACCUCAGGUGGGUAUAUGAGAUUUAGGAGAAAGUUCCAUUUCAUGGUGCAUCUUCUCUGUCAUAAGGCUAACUGAUUCUUGCAGCCAUGACAGAUUUCAAAGCUUUUGAGCUGAUUCGUGUUUUGGCUCGGCAAAGUUCAGUUUCCUUCCCCCCCUCACCAAACCACCUUUUUGUGAAAUGACACAUGACCUUCCUCUUUUUUUAUUCUUAUUACUCUCUCUGCUCGUUUUAUAAACCAUGAGGAUGUGGAGGUUUUGUCUUCCGUGGAAGUUCAACAAAACUUGUUUUCUCUCGAGCUGAAAAACAGUUGCUUGGCACGGCACCUCAGAAGUUUUGCAUUUUUCCUGCAUGUACUGGACACUUUUGGCCUCUGCGCCCAGUUGCACUUGUGGGGUAAUACUGUCAUUGGGCGUACCAUUGGCAUCAGUGCUGCUUGUUGCAACAGUUUCCUCCCUCUCCAAUGCAAGUAAAGGUUUCAGUUCAAUCAUUUUCUAUCAGCAACGUCCUUCCUAGACAGGAGGGAGUAAAACGGAUCAAAUGAUGCAGAUAAAAUAUUAAAAUGGAAUAGAAGUGCAUAAUUUAAUCAGACCUCUUUAAUUGGAGUCUUGUUUUCCGUCGCAACACAUUCUCCCUUUGAUUCAGUGGCCUCUACUUGGAGCGUGUGAAUUUGUUUUUACCUUUUUGGUGAGAUGGGGCACAUGAAGGCUUAAGCGAAUACCUGAGGCUAUUUGAAGCUCAAUUUGGUCGGGGGUUAUCUUGUAUGAUUUCACAAGUUGUAGGUAUCUGUUGCUAUUGGCAUUGGAACCUGCGCUAUGUUAAGAUGGAUGACAGUGGAUCUGGUGUCAUACGAGAUGGGCUGGUGCUUAUGGGAGAAAUAUAUGGUAAUCAUUUUGCAAAAUAUUGGACUGACAUCAUUUUUUCUAUUGUAUUGAUGCUGCUGUCCAUAAUUUAGUAUUGUAUGCAUUUCUCAACUGAUGGACUGUUUGACGGUUUGUGUUCAUUAGAGUCUAUUUACAGAUGCUCUUUUAUGUAUUAUUUUG